ACACCGUUGGUGUAGGGGUAACAUAUUACCUUCCCAUUCCACAAGGAUAGGAUUUCAGGUAAUGCCGUGGGUUCGAUUCCCGCACGGUGUA
RNAcentral lists this transfer RNA (91 nucleotides) under Sphaerosporella brunnea. It matches the Rfam family "tRNA". Rfam says of the family: Transfer RNA (tRNA) molecules are approximately 80 nucleotides in length. Their secondary structure includes four short double-helical elements and three loops (D, anti-codon, and T loops). Lineage: Eukaryota; Fungi; Ascomycota; Pezizomycetes; Pezizales; Pyronemataceae. The record is from Rfam by way of RNAcentral.